RNAcentral lists this ribosomal RNA (254 nucleotides) under uncultured bacterium. Its description in RNAcentral is "partial 16S ribosomal RNA". It matches the Rfam family "Bacterial small subunit ribosomal RNA", at positions 524 to 776 of the family's 1533-position model. The record is from RNAcentral.
UACGAAGGGGGCUAGCGUUGCUCGGAAUCACUGGGCGUAAAGCGCACGUAGGCGGAUUGCUAAGUCAGGGGUGAAAUCCUGGAGCUCAACUCCAGAACUGCCUUUUGAUACUGGCGACCUUGAGUCCGGGAGAGGUGAGUGGAACUGCGAGUGUAGAGGUGAAAUUCGUAGAUAUUCGCAAGAACACCAGUGGCGAAGGCGGCUCACUGGCCCGGUACUGACGCUGAGGUGCGAAAGCGUGGGGAGCAAACAGG